This 1387-nucleotide ribosomal RNA is filed under the name Apilactobacillus sp. RNAcentral's name for it is "bacterial SSU rRNA". The record is from RNAcentral. Lineage: Bacteria; Bacillati; Bacillota; Bacilli; Lactobacillales; Lactobacillaceae.
UGAUUUUAUGCUUGCAUAAAUGAUUUUUGGAUUCGGAGCGAGUGGCGAACUGGUGAGUAACACGUGGGUAACCUGCCCCGAAGCGGGGGAUAACAUUUGGAAACAAGUGCUAAUACCGCAUAAUUAGUUGGAACCGCAUGGUUCCAACUUGAAAGAUGGCUCUGCUAUCACUUUGGGAUGGACCCGCGCCGUAUUAGUUAGUUGGUGAGAUAAAAGCCCACCAAGACGAUGAUACGUAGCCGACCUGAGAGGGUAAUCGGCCACAUUGGGACUGAGACACGGCCCAGACUCCUACGGGAGGCAGCAGUAGGGAAUCUUCCACAAUGGACGAAAGUCUGAUGGAGCAACGCCGCGUGAGUGAUGAAGGUUUUCGGAUCGUAAAAYUCUGUUGUUAAAGAAGAACAAGUGUUAGAGUAACUGUUAACACUUUGACGGUAUUUAACCAGAAAGCCACGGCUAACUACGUGCCAGCAGCCGCGGUAAUACGUAGGUGGCAAGCGUUGUCCGGAUUUAUUGGGCGUAAAGCGAGCGCAGGCGGUUUUGUAAGUCUGCUGUGAAAGCCCUCAGCUCAACUGAGGAAGUGCAGUGGAAACUACAAAACUUGAGUACAGAAGAGGAAAGUGGAACUCCAUGGUGUAGCGGUGAAAUGCGUAGAUAUAUGGAAGAACACCAGUGGCGAAGGCGGCUUUCUGGUCUGUUACUGACGCUGAGGCUCGAAAGCAUGGGUAGCGAACAGGAUUAGAUACCCUGGUAGUCCAUGCCGUAAACGAUGAAUACUAGGUGGUUGGAAGGGUUUCCGCCCCUUCAGUGCCGCAGCUAACGCAUUAAGUAUUCCGCCUGGGGAGUACGACCGCAAGGUUGAAACUCAAAGGAAUUGACGGGGGCCCGCACAAGUGGUGGAGCAUGUGGUUUAAUUCGAUGCUACGCGAAGAACCUUACCAGCUCUUGACAUCUUCUGCCAACCCAAGAGAUUGGGCGUUCCCUUCGGGGACAGAAUGACAGGUGGUGCAUGGUUGUCGUCAGCUCGUGUCGUGAGAUGUUGGGUUAAGUCCCGCAACGAGCGCAACCCUUAUUAUUAGUUGCCAGCAUUUAGUUGGGCACUCUAGUGAGACUGCCGGUGAUAAACCGGAGGAAGGUGGGGACGACGUCAAAUCAUCAUGCCCCUUAUGAGCUGGGCUACACACGUGCUACAAUGGAUGGUACAACGAGUCGCGAAACCGCGAGGUCAAGCUAAUCUCUUAAAGCCAUUCUCAGUUCGGAUUGCAGGCUGCAACUCGCCUGCAUGAAGUUGGAAUCACUAGUAAUCGUGGAUCAGCAUGCCACGGUGAAUACGUUCCCGGGCCUUGUACACACCGCCCGUCACACCAUGAGAGUUUGUAACACCCAA